This 557-nucleotide ribosomal RNA is filed under the name uncultured bacterium. Its description in RNAcentral is "bacterial SSU rRNA". It matches the Rfam family "Bacterial small subunit ribosomal RNA", at positions 102 to 694 of the family's 1533-position model. The record is from RNAcentral.
ACGGGUGAGUAACGCGUGGGAAUCUACCCAUCUCUACGGAAUAACGCAUGGAAACGUGUGCUAAUACCGUAUACGUCCUUCGGGAGAAAGAUUUGUCGGAGAUGGAUGAGCCCGCGUUGGAUUAGCUAGUUGGUGGGGUAAAGGCCUACCAAGGCGACGAUCCAUAGCUGGUCUGAGAGGAUGAUCAGCCACACUGGGACUGAGACACGGCCCAGACUCCUACGGGAGGCAGCAGUGGGGAAUAUUGGACAAUGGGCGCAAGCCUGAUCCAGCCAUGCCGCGUGAGUGAUGAAGGCCCUAGGGUUGUAAAGCUCUUUCACCGGUGAAGAUAAUGACGGUAACCGGAGAAGAAGCCCCGGCUAACUUCGUGCCAGCAGCCGCGGUAAUACGAAGGGGGCUAGCGUUGUUCGGAUUUACUGGGCGUAAAGCGCACGUAGGCGGACUAUUAAGUCAGGGGUGAAAUCCCGGGGCUCAACCCCGGAACUGCCUUUGAUACUGGUAGUCUUGAGUUCGAGAGAGGUGAGUGGAAUUCCGAGUGUAGAGGUGGAAUUCGUAGA